Long non-coding RNA from Bubalus bubalis (water buffalo), 2247 nucleotides. RefSeq lists it as uncharacterized. Lineage: Eukaryota; Metazoa; Chordata; Mammalia; Artiodactyla; Bovidae. The transcript has 2 exons. The record is from RefSeq and is a predicted model, not a curated record.
GGUACAGGGGCUUAAUUGCUCUGUGGUAUGUGGAUUUUCCUGGACCAGGGAUCGAACCCACACUUCUUGCACUGGCAGGUGGAUUCCUGUCUGUUGUGCCACCAGGGAAGUCUGAGGCAUCAUUCUUAGUUGCAUUCACUGGAGCAAAAAUAGGUACAGGUCAUACCAUUGCCAACAAGACUGUAAAACCCAAAUUAUGCUUAAAAAGAAAGCAGAACAACCUAUUGCAGUUUUUUAUAGGGUUUUUUUUUCCCCCAUACAUAAGUGUUAAUAGUAAUUAUUAUUUUAUGUUGAGGCAAUCCCAUAUUUUGCUUUACCAUCAGAUAAAGCCACUGAAUCAGCUUCUGGCAUAUGUGCAGCAAUUAUAUGGGGAGGAUAAUUUAAUGAAAUUUAAUUUUUUUUAUGAAAAUGGAUGAUUAAAAGAGAUUACAUGUUUUCUCUGCUUAACUAAUUUUAUUUAGUCUGUAAAAAAGACUGAAAAGGUUUUGUUGUGAUCAGUACUGAAAUAAGACCAUCUGUAUAUACAACAAAUAAAGCACUGAUCUAUUAAUAAAUGAGUUACACUUGAAUGACAGUGCAUGCAGAGCUUUAUUCAUAGAAUACAGAUAGUGGUUGGCAAUACUUAAUCUUGAUUGUGUUUUUUUGCUCAGUGAUUUUAAAAGGACUGAUUGAUAAUUUGCUUGUACCUAUUCAGGACAGGUAAUUUUGGAGUACAUGACAGAAAACUGGAGUGACGGGUGAUGCUGCUUUUCCAAAGUGAAAGGCACUGGCACACAAAGAAAGUUCAUACGAAGUUUAGAAUGAGAGGAUGGAGCUUACUAACCUUCCAGCACCACCUCCCACCCCAUCUAACUCCCACUGCCAUGUAUUAAAUUGAGCCAUUGCAUCCUAAUUCCACAAUCAUAUGGGUCAUAGCAUUAUGACACAAGUGCUUGUUCUAUCCUCUUUUGUUCAUCUUAAUUUACUGUGUGGAUGAAAGCACAAACAGCAAACGUAAUUACCUUUAUGAGAAGGCUAAUGAUUGGUCAUCUAAUAGCAUAUACAUUUCUAAUUAUCUUAAGAAAACAUAUCCUCACAUCAAUAGUGACAAGAUGAGAUGAAACAAGGAUACACAGAAGGAGAAAGAAGAGUUGGAGAAAGGGAGAGUGAGAGGAAUGAAGGAAGAAAGGCAAGGAGGGAGGCCGGUUGAUGUUAAUCAUGGCAUAGUGUGCUAUAAUGGAAAGACCAAAGGAACAUUGCAUGGAGUCAGAACAUUGACAAUGCAUUCAGACAACCUGGAUUCAAAUCCUUGCUUGGCCACUUAACUGUGUGAUCUUGGGCAAGUUACUUAAACUCUGUGUCUUGGGUUUGUUUAGCUUUUCUUUCUUUCUUUUUUUUUUAUAUAUAAAAUAAGGUAACUUCCUAGGACUGUUGGGAGGAUUAGAUCAAAUAAGAUUAAAAAAAAAACAAAAAACUCCAAAAUACCUUGACUAAUAUACCUAGCUAAAAGAGGAAGUAGUUAGGAAAUGGUGCUUAUUUUGGUGAAAAGUUUAGUGGUUUUAGUGAUAAUACAAAACUUUAAUAUGUUUUAAUAGAAACAUUAUUUACAAAUAUAGAGAAUAAUAGUUCUAUAGUUAUCAAUCAUCCAAAUGUAGAAUUUUUUUUCCUUAGGAGGAGGAUCCACAUUUUAAGUUAAAUGUUGACAGUCUAGUAGUGUUAGAAUAAACAAAUAUAGUAAGGAAUCUGGAAACCUUGCCGUAUGAUGAGAAGUUAAUAACAACAGGGGUUAUUUGGUCAUAUUUCAGGUUGCUUUAGAACAAGAGUUUUUAACUUAAUGUAAUAUAUAGACCCUGGUGGCUCAGAGGGUAAAGAAUCUGCCUGCAGUUCAGGAGACCCAGUUUUGAUCCCUGGGUCAGGAAGAUCCCCUGGAGAAGGGAAUGGCAACCCUCUCCAGUAUUAUUGCCUGGAAAAUCCUAUGGACUGAGGAGCCUGGCAAGCCACAGUCCAUUCUGUUGUAAAGAGCUGGACACAGCUGAAUGACUAAUACACACCAUAUAUAGGCUUCAUGUUGUAGAUGAAGAACAACUAUAUAUUUUUUUAUUUCUUUCCUUUUAUUGGCAAAAAUUUUAUGGCAAAAUAUGUUUUUAAAGUUUUACUUCAAAUAUAAAUAGAGUGGCAUGGAUUCAUUGUAUAAAUUUAUCAUCCUUGUUAUAUAAUGGCAUCUUGAAUAGCAUUACACUCAUCAGAAUUAAAAAUGUAUCUGAAAUU